AUUGAACGCUGGCGGAAUGCUUUACACAUGCAAGUCGAACGGCAGCACGGACUUCGGUCUGGUGGCGAGUGGCGAACGGGUGAGUAAUAUAUCGGAACGUAUCCAAUAAUGGGGGAUAACUAAUCGAAAGGUUGGCUAAUACCGCAUACGUCCUACGGGAGAAAGCUAGGGACCUUCGGGCCUGGCGUUAAUGGAGCGGCCGAUAUCGGAUUAGCUAGUUGGUGAGGUAAAGGCUCACCAAGGCGACGAUCCGUAGCUGGUCUGAGAGGACGACCAGCCACACCGGAACUGAGACACGGUCCAGACUCCUACGGGAGGCAGCAGUGGGGAAUUUUGGACAAUGGGCGAAAGCCUGAUCCAGCCAUUCCGUGUGAGUGAAGAAGGCCUUCGGGUUGUAAAGCUCUUUCGCAAGAGAAGAAAACUUACCCUCUAACAUAGGGUGAGGUUGACGGUAUCUUGAUAAGAAGCACCGGCUAACUACGUGCCAGCAGCCGCAGUAA
Molecule: ribosomal RNA, 500 nt
Filed under: uncultured bacterium
Lineage: Bacteria
Description: partial 16S ribosomal RNA
Rfam family: Bacterial small subunit ribosomal RNA
Source: RNAcentral